CACGGGGGGAGCAAGCGUUGUUCGGAAUCACUGGGCGUAAAGGGCGUGUAGGCGGUCAAGUAAGUGGAAUGUGAAAGCCCCCGGCUUACCCGGGGAUCGGCAUCCCAAACUGCUUGGCUUGAGUACGGGAGAGGAUAGGGGAAUUCCUGGUGUAGCGGUGAAAUGCGUAGAUAUCUGGAGGAACACCGGUGGCGAAGGCGGCAUCCUGGACCGGUAUUGACGCUGAGGCGCGAAAGCCAGGGGAGCAAACGGG
This 253-nucleotide ribosomal RNA is filed under the name uncultured bacterium. Its description in RNAcentral is "partial 16S ribosomal RNA". It matches the Rfam family "Bacterial small subunit ribosomal RNA", at positions 524 to 776 of the family's 1533-position model. The record is from RNAcentral.